GGGGAAUAUUGGACAAUGGGCGCAAGCCUGAUCCAGCCAUGCCGCGUGGGUGAAGAAGGCCUUCGGGUUGUAAAGCCCUUUUGUUGGGAAAGAAAAGCAGCCGGCCAAUACCCGGUUGUUCUGACGGUACCCAAAGAAUAAGCACCGGCUAACUUCGUGCCAGCAGCCGCGGUAAUACGAAGGGUGCAAGCGUUACUCGGAAUUACUGGGCGUAAAGCGUGCGUAGGGUGGUGGUUUAAGUCCGUUGUGAAAGCCCUGGGCUCAACCUGGGAACUGCAGUGGAUACUGGAUCACUAAGGUGGGGCAGAGGGUAGUGGAAUUCCCGGUGUAGCAAUGAGAUGCGUGUAGGACGGGAGGAACAGCAGUGGAGAAGGAGACUGCCUGGGCGGAAACUGACACUGAAGUAAGAAAGCGUGGGGAGCAAACA
RNAcentral lists this ribosomal RNA (427 nucleotides) under uncultured Lysobacteraceae bacterium. RNAcentral describes it as "bacterial SSU rRNA". It matches the Rfam family "Bacterial small subunit ribosomal RNA", at positions 356 to 774 of the family's 1533-position model. Lineage: Bacteria; Pseudomonadati; Pseudomonadota; Gammaproteobacteria; Lysobacterales; Lysobacteraceae. The record is from RNAcentral.